Danio rerio (zebrafish) is the source of this 117-nucleotide non-coding RNA. The record is from Rfam. Lineage: Eukaryota; Metazoa; Chordata; Actinopteri; Cypriniformes; Danionidae.
UGCCACAGCCAUAUCACCCUGCAGCCCAAGACCGGUUACUCACUGAAGCUAAGCAGGGCUGAGCCUGGUUGGUACCUGGAUGGGAGACCACUAGGGAACACUAGGUUGCUGUUGGAA